This 2865-nucleotide ribosomal RNA is filed under the name Enterobacter hormaechei. Its description in RNAcentral is "partial 23S ribosomal RNA". It matches the Rfam family "Bacterial large subunit ribosomal RNA". Lineage: Bacteria; Pseudomonadati; Pseudomonadota; Gammaproteobacteria; Enterobacterales; Enterobacteriaceae. The record is from RNAcentral.
GGUUAAGCGACUAAGCGUACACGGUGGAUGCCCUGGCAGUCAGAGGCGAUGAAGGACGUGCUAAUCUGCGAAAAGCGCCGGCGAGGUGAUAUGAACCCUUGACCCGGCGAUGUCCGAAUGGGGAAACCCAGUGUGUUCCGACACACUAUCGUUAACUGAAUACAUAGGUUAACGAGGCGAACCGGGGGAACUGAAACAUCUAAGUACCCCGAGGAAAAGAAAUCAACCGAGAUUCCCCCAGUAGCGGCGAGCGAACGGGGAGCAGCCCGGAGUCUGAAUCAGCUUGUGUGUUAGUGGAACGGUCUGGAAAGUCCGACGGUACAGGGUGAUAGUCCCGUACACGAAAAUGCACAUGCUGUGAACUCGAAGAGUAGGGCGGGACACGUGGUAUCCUGUCUGAAUAUGGGGGGACCAUCCUCCAAGGCUAAAUACUCCUGACUGACCGAUAGUGAACCAGUACCGUGAGGGAAAGGCGAAAAGAACCCCGGCGAGGGGAGUGAAAAAGAACCUGAAACCGUGUACGUACAAGCAGUGGGAGCACCUUCGGGUGUGACUGCGUACCUUUUGUAUAAUGGGUCAGCGACUUAUAUUCUGUAGCAAGGUUAACCGUAUAGGGGAGCCGAAGGGAAACCGAGUCUUAACUGGGCGUUAAGUUGCAGGGUAUAGACCCGAAACCCGGUGAUCUAGCCAUGGGCAGGUUGAAGGUUGGGUAACACUAACUGGAGGACCGAACCGACUAAUGUUGAAAAAUUAGCGGAUGACCUGUGGCUGGGGGUGAAAGGCCAAUCAAACCGGGAGAUAGCUGGUUCUCCCCGAAAGCUAUUUAGGUAGCGCCUCGUGAACUCAUCUUCGGGGGUAGAGCACUGUUUCGGCUAGGGGGCCAUCCCGGCUUACCAACCCGAUGCAAACUACGAAUACCGAAGAAUGUUAUCACGGGAGACACACGGCGGGUGCUAACGUCCGUCGUGAAGAGGGAAACAACCCAGACCGCCAGCUAAGGUCCCAAAGUCAUGGUUAAGUGGGAAACGAUGUGGGAAGGCACAGACAGCCAGGAUGUUGGCUUAGAAGCAGCCAUCAUUUAAAGAAAGCGUAAUAGCUCACUGGUCGAGUCGGCCUGCGCGGAAGAUGUAACGGGGCUAAACCAUGCACCGAAGCUGCGGCAGCGACGCUUAUGUGUUGUUGGGUAGGGGAGCGUUCUGUAAGCCGUUGAAGGUGUGCUGUGAGGCAUGCUGGAGGUAUCAGAAGUGCGAAUGCUGACAUAAGUAACGAUAAAGCGGGUGAAAAGCCCGCUCGCCGGAAGACCAAGGGUUCCUGUCCAACGUUAAUCGGGGCAGGGUGAGUCGACCCCUAAGGCGAGGCCGAAAGGCGUAGUCGAUGGGAAACAGGUUAAUAUUCCUGUACUUGGUGUUACUGCGAAGGGGGGACGGAGAAGGCUAUGUCAGCCGGGCGACGGUUGUCCCGGUUUAAGCAUGUAGGCGGAGGUUCCAGGUAAAUCCGGUACCUUAUUAACGCUGAGGUGUGAUGACGAGGCACUACGGUGCUGAAGUGAUAAAUGCCCUGCUUCCAGGAAAAGCCUCUAAGCAUCAGGUAACACGAAAUCGUACCCCAAACCGACACAGGUGGUCAGGUAGAGAAUACCAAGGCGCUUGAGAGAACUCGGGUGAAGGAACUAGGCAAAAUGGUGCCGUAACUUCGGGAGAAGGCACGCUGAUAUGUAGGUGAAGCCCCUGCGGGCGGAGCUGAAAUCAGUCGAAGAUACCAGCUGGCUGCAACUGUUUAUUAAAAACACAGCACUGUGCAAACACGAAAGUGGACGUAUACGGUGUGACGCCUGCCCGGUGCCGGAAGGUUAAUUGAUGGGGUUAGCGGCAACGCGAAGCUCUUGAUCGAAGCCCCGGUAAACGGCGGCCGUAACUAUAACGGUCCUAAGGUAGCGAAAUUCCUUGUCGGGUAAGUUCCGACCUGCACGAAUGGCGUAAUGAUGGCCAGGCUGUCUCCACCCGAGACUCAGUGAAAUUGAACUCGCUGUGAAGAUGCAGUGUACCCGCGGCAAGACGGAAAGACCCCGUGAACCUUUACUAUAGCUUGACACUGAACACUGGUCCUUGAUGUGUAGGAUAGGUGGGAGGCUUUGAAGCGUGGACGCCAGUCUGCGUGGAGCCGUCCUUGAAAUACCACCCUUUAAUGGCUGGUGUUCUAACGUAGACCCGUGAUCCGGGUUGCGGACAGUGUCUGGUGGGUAGUUUGACUGGGGCGGUCUCCUCCCAAAGAGUAACGGAGGAGCACGAAGGUUGGCUAAUCCUGGUCGGACAUCAGGAGGUUAGUGCAAUGGCAUAAGCCAGCUUGACUGCGAGCGUGACGGCGCGAGCAGGUGCGAAAGCAGGUCAUAGUGAUCCGGUGGUUCUGAAUGGAAGGGCCAUCGCUCAACGGAUAAAAGGUACUCCGGGGAUAACAGGCUGAUACCGCCCAAGAGUUCAUAUCGACGGCGGUGUUUGGCACCUCGAUGUCGGCUCAUCACAUCCUGGGGCUGAAGUAGGUCCCAAGGGUAUGGCUGUUCGCCAUUUAAAGUGGUACGCGAGCUGGGUUUAGAACGUCGUGAGACAGUUCGGUCCCUAUCUGCCGUGGGCGCUGGAGAAUUGAGGGGGGCUGCUCCUAGUACGAGAGGACCGGAGUGGACGCAUCACUGGUGUUCGGGUUGUCAUGCCAAUGGCACUGCCCGGUAGCUAAAUGCGGAAGAGAUAAGUGCUGAAAGCAUCUAAGCACGAAACUUGCCCCGAGAUGAGUUCUCCCUGAGACCUUGAGUCUCCUGAAGGAACGUUGAAGACGACGACGUUGAUAGGUCGGGUGUGUAAGCGCAGCGAUGCG